UAAAAGUUUUGUAAGAAUGACAGAUAAUAUACGUAAGAAACCUAAGAGAUCGUAUAUUCUUGGUAAAUAAUAGUUACCUCUUAUUUUGAGUUACUAUGUCAUUCAAUUUAAUAUCACAUAGAAAUUAAGAGUUUUAAAAAUAGGUGCUAUUUGCUGUAGAAUGUCACUUUUAAUUAAUUUUAUCAAUUCCUCAGAGUUAUUUUAAGAGCUCCCUAUGUUGCUAAGGAAUUUUUAAAGAGGAAUCAGUAUAAACAGAUGAUCGGCAGAGCUGGCCGAGCUGGAAUAGAUACUGUUGGGGAAAGCAUCCUUAUAUUGCAAGAGAAAGACAAGCAACAGAUUGCAACAAGCCUCGGUGACAUCUAUCAAUUUAUGAAUGGUACGUUGUUUGGUGUUCAGCAAAAGGUUUUAUUGAAAGAAAAAAGUCUGUGGGAAGUCACUGUUGAAUCACUUAGAUACUUGACAGAGAAAGGACUCCUGCAAAAAGACUCUAUUCAUAAGUCUGAAGAAGAGGCCCAGUGUAAUUUUCAUAUUACAAAGUUGGGACGAGCUUCUUUUAAGGGAACUAUAGAUUUAGCUUAUUGUAACGUUCUCUACAAAGACUUAGAGAAAGGUCUGGAAGGACUUGUGCUUGAGAGCCUUUUUCACCUAAUCUACCUGACAACCCCCUAUGAUCUGGUUUCUCAGUGUGAACCUAAUUGGAUGAUAUACUUCUGGCAGGUGAGAAGAUUUUUCAACUUAGGAUACUUAAUUUACUAAUGAUGGUUUGAUCUUUGUCAAGUGAUUAUUCAUUUUUUUGUCCUCCAUUAAAAUAUAUUUUUAAUUGGGUCUUCUUGACCAGCCUUAAAAAAUAAUAAUAAUAAUUG
This 863-nucleotide long non-coding RNA is filed under the name Microcebus murinus (gray mouse lemur). RNAcentral describes it as "lncRNA (ENSMICG00000048683.1)". The record is from RNAcentral. Lineage: Eukaryota; Metazoa; Chordata; Mammalia; Primates; Cheirogaleidae.